GAGGUAGUUGGCAAGAAAUAACAAUACGGGGCUUAAUGUCUUGUAAUUGGAAUGAUGGGAAUUUAAACCUCUUCCAGAGUAUCAAUUGGAGGGCAAGUCUGGUGCCAGCAGCCGCGGUAAUUCCAGCUCCAAUAGCGUAUAUUAAAAUUGUUGCAGUUAAAAAGCUCGUAGUUGAAUUUCUGCUGCAUUGCAUCUUCUUUUUGAUGAGUUGGUGUAUUGUGGCUUAUUUCGGAUGAUACUUGUAUUAUCCGGAUGAUUACUUUGAGAAAAUUAGAGUGCUCAAAGCAGGCUUUUGCCUUGAAUAGUUUAGCAUGGAAUAAUAAAGUAGGACUUUGGUUCUAUUUUGUUGGUUUUAGGUACCAAAGUAAUGGUUAAUAGGAACAGUUGGGGGCAUUCGUAUUUAACUGUCAGAGGUGAAAUUCUUAGAUUUGUUAAAGACGAACUACUGCGAAAGCAUUUGCCAAGGAUGUUUUCAUUAAUCAAGAACGAAAGUUAGGGGAUCGAAGAA
Molecule: ribosomal RNA, 508 nt
Filed under: Theileria luwenshuni
Lineage: Eukaryota; Apicomplexa; Aconoidasida; Piroplasmida; Theileriidae
Description: SSU rRNA
Rfam family: Eukaryotic small subunit ribosomal RNA
Source: RNAcentral